RNAcentral lists this ribosomal RNA (589 nucleotides) under Enterocytozoon bieneusi. RNAcentral's name for it is "SSU rRNA". It matches the Rfam family "Microsporidia small subunit ribosomal RNA", at positions 305 to 900 of the family's 1311-position model. The record is from RNAcentral. Lineage: Eukaryota; Fungi; Microsporidia; Enterocytozoonidae.
UCACUCCUUACGGGGGAGACAGUCAUGAGACGUGAGUAUAAGACCUGAGUGUAAAGACCUUAGGGUGAAGCAAUUGGAGGGCAAGCUUUGGUGCCAGCAGCCGCGGUAACUCCAACUCCAAGAGUGUCUAUGGUGGAUGCUGCAGUUAAAGGGUCCGUAGUCGUGAAUGCAAUUAAAUGUCGUUGUUCAAUAGCGAUGAGUUUGCUAAUGUUUGCGGAACGGAUAGGGAGUGUAGUAUAGACUGGCGAAGAAUGAAAUCUCAAGACCCAGUUUGGACUAACGGAGGCGAAGGCGACACUCUUAGACGUAUCUUAGGAUCAAGGACGAAGGCAGGAGUAUCGAAAGUGAUUAGACACCGCUGUAGUUCCUGCAGUAAACUAUGCCGACAGCCUGUGUGUGAGAAUACGUGGGCGGGAGAAAUCUUAGUGUUCGGGCUCUGGGGAUAGUACGCUCGCAAGGGUGAAACUUAAAGCGAAAUUGACGGAAGGACACUACCAGGAGUGGAUUGUGCUGCUUAAUUUAACUCAACGCGGGAAAACUUACCAGGGUCAAGUCAUUCGUUGAUCGAAUACGUGAGAAUGGCAGGAUG